RNAcentral lists this ribosomal RNA (898 nucleotides) under uncultured eukaryote. RNAcentral's name for it is "SSU rRNA". It matches the Rfam family "Eukaryotic small subunit ribosomal RNA", at positions 573 to 1499 of the family's 1831-position model. The record is from RNAcentral.
GCCGCGGUAAUUCCAGCUCCAAUAGCGUAUAUUAAAGUUGUUGCAGUUAGAACGCUCGUAGUCGGAUUUCGGGGCGAGCCUUCCGGUCUGCCGAUGGGUAUGCACUGGUAGGGUCGUCCUUCCUUCCGGAGACCGUUCCUACUCUUAACUGAGCGGGGUCGGGAGACGGAAUUUUUACUUUGAAAAAAUCAGAGUGUUUCAAGCAGGCAGCUCGCUCUUGCAUGGAUUAGCAUGGGAUAAUGAAAUAGGACUUUGGUGCUAUUUUGUUGGUUUCGAGCACCGAAGUAAUGAUGAGAAGGGACAGUCAGGGGCACUCGUAUUCCGCCGAGAGAGGUGAAAUUCUCAGACCAGCGGAAGACGAACCACUGCGAAAGCAUUUGCCAGGGAUGUUUUCACUGAUCAAGAACGAAAGUUAGGGGAUCGAAGACGAUCAGAUACCGUCGUAGUCUUAACCAUAAACCAUGCCGACUAGGGAUUGGGGGAUGUUCACUGAUUGACUUCCUCAGCACCUUACGGGAAACUAAAGUCUUUGGGUUCCGGGGGGAGUAUGGCCGCAAGGCUGAAACUUAAAGGAAUUGACGGAAGGGCACCACCAGGUGUGGAGCCUGCGGCUUAAUUUGACUCAACACGGGGAAACUUACCAGGUCCAGACAUUGUGAGGAUUGACAGAUUGAGAGCUCUUUCUUGAUUCGAUGGGUGGUGGUGCAUGGCCGUUCUUAGUUGGUGGAGUGAUUUGUCUGGUUAAUUCCGUUAACGAACGAGACCUUAGCCUGCUAAAUAGUGACGCGAACACUUUGUUCGUGGGCCACUUCUUAGAGGGACAACUUGUCUUCAACAAGUGGAAGUUUGAGGCAAUAACAGGUCUGUGAUGCCCAGGCGAAUCGUUAACCUGCAGACU